Anser brachyrhynchus (Pink-footed goose) is the source of this 107-nucleotide small nuclear RNA. The record is from Ensembl. Lineage: Eukaryota; Metazoa; Chordata; Aves; Anseriformes; Anatidae.
GAGCUUGCUUCAGUAGCACAUAUACUAAAAUUAGAACCAUACAAAAGAGAUUAGCAUGGCUUCUGUACAAGAAUAACAUGCAAAUUCAUGAAGCAUUCCAUAUUUUU